RNAcentral lists this ribosomal RNA (534 nucleotides) under uncultured Nocardioides sp. RNAcentral describes it as "bacterial SSU rRNA". It matches the Rfam family "Bacterial small subunit ribosomal RNA", at positions 505 to 1045 of the family's 1533-position model. The record is from RNAcentral. Lineage: Bacteria; Bacillati; Actinomycetota; Actinomycetes; Propionibacteriales; Nocardioidaceae.
GUGCCAGCCGCUGCGGUAAUACGUAGGGUCCGAGCGUUGUCCGGAAUUAUUGGGCGUAAAGGGCUCGUAGGCGGUUUGUCGCGUCGGGAGUGAAACCCACAGCUUAACUGUGGGCCUGCUUUCGAUACGGGCAGACUUGAGGCAUGCAGGGGAGAACGGAAUUCCUGGUGUAGCGGUGAAAUGCGCAGAUAUCAGGAGGAACACCGGUGGCGAAGGCGGUUCUCUGGGCAUGUUCUGACGCCGAGGAGCGAAAGUGUGGGGAGCGAACAGGAUUAGAUACCCUGGUAGUCCACACCGUAAACGUUGGGCGCUAGGUGUGGGAUCCAUUCCACGGGUUCCGUGCCGCAGCUAACGCAUUAAGCGCCCCGCCUGGGGAGUACGGCCGCAAGGCUAAAACUCAAAGGAUUGACGGGGCCCGCACAAGCGGCGGAGCAUGCGGAUUAAUUCGAUGCAACGCGAAGAACCUUACCUGGGUUUGACAUACACGGGAAAGCUGCAGAGAUGUGGCCCCUUUUUGCCGUGUACAGGUGUGCA